CAGUAGCGAAGUUCCUGAUGUCACACUGCCAAGAAAAGCUUCUAGUGAGAAAGUAACUGCCCGUACCGCAAACCGACACAGGUAGUUGAGGAGAGAAUCCUAAGGUGUGCGAGAGAACUCUCGUUAAGGAACUCGGCAAAAUGACCCCGUAACUUCGGGAGAAGGGGUGCUGACCGCAAGGUCAGCCGCAGUGAAUAGGCCCAGGCGACUGUUUAUCAAAAACACAGGUCUCUGCAAAAUCGAAAGAUGACGUAUAGGGGCUGACGCCUGCCCGGUGCUGGAAGGUUAAGAGGAGAGGUUAGCGCGAGCGAAGCUUUGAAUUGAAGCCCCAGUAAACGGCGGCCGUAACUAUAACGGUCCUAAGGUAGCGAAAUUCCUUGUCGGGUAAGUUCCGACCCGCACGAAAGGCGUAACGAUUUGGGCACUGUCUCAACGAGAGACUCGGUGAAAUUAUAGUACCAGUGAAGAUGCUGGUUACCCGCGACAGGACGGAAAGACCCCAUGGAGCUUUACUGCAGUUUGAUAUUGCGUGUUUGUAUCACAUGUACAGGAUAGGUAGGAGCCGAAGAUACCGGGACGCCAGUCUCGGAGGAGGCAACGGUGGGAUACUACCCUUGUGAUAUGACCACUCUAACCCGCUGCUCUUAGCGAGCAGGGAGACAGUGUCAGACGGGCAGUUUGACUGGGGCGGUCGCCUCCAAAAAUGUAACGGAGGCGCCCAAAGGUUCCCUCAGAAUGGUUGGAAAUCAUUCGUAGAGUGUAAAGGCAGAAGGGAGCUUGACUGCGAGACCUACAAGUCGAGCAGGGACGAAAGUCGGGCUUAGUGAUCCGGUGGUUCCGCAUGGAAGGGCCAUCGCUCAACGGAUAAAAGCUACCCUGGGGAUAACAGGCUUAUCUCCCCCAAGAGUUCACAUCGACGGGGAGGUUUGGCACCUCGAUGUCGGCUCAUCGCAUCCUGUGGCUGUAGUCGGUCCCAAGGGUUGGGCUGUUCGCCCAUUAAAGCGGUACGCGAGCUGGGUUCAGAACGUCGUGAGACAGUUCGGUCCCUAUCCGUCGCGGGCGUUGGAAAUUUGAGAGGAGCUGUCCUUUGUACGAGAGGACCGGGAUGGACACACCGCUGGUGUACCAGUUGUUCUGCCAAGAGCAUCGCUGGGUAGCUAUGUGUGGACGGGAUAAACGCUGAAAGCAUCUAAGCGUGAAGCCCCCCUCAAGAUGAGGUUUCCCAUCACUUUAAGUGAGUAAGACCCCUGAGAGAUGAUCAGGUAGAUAGGUUGGGAGUGGAAGUACAGCGAUGUAUGGAGCGGACCAAUACUAAUCGGUCGAGGACUUAACC
Molecule: ribosomal RNA, 1333 nt
Filed under: metagenome
Description: bacterial LSU rRNA
Rfam family: Bacterial large subunit ribosomal RNA
Source: RNAcentral